Molecule: ribosomal RNA, 492 nt
Filed under: uncultured bacterium
Lineage: Bacteria
Description: partial 16S ribosomal RNA
Rfam family: Bacterial small subunit ribosomal RNA
Source: RNAcentral
AGUGAACGCUGGCGGUAGGCCUAACACAUGCAAGUCGAACGGCAGCACAGUAAGAGCUUGCCCUUACGGGUGGCGAGUGGCGGACGGGUGAGGAAUGCAUCGGAAUCUACUUUUUCGUGGGGGAUAACGUAGGGAAACUUACGCUAAUACCGCAUACGACCUACGGGUGAAAGCAGGGGAUCUUCGGACCUUGCGCGAUUGAAUGAGCCGAUGUCGGAUUAGCUAGUUGGCGGGGUAAAGGCCCACCAAGGCGACGAUCCGUAGCUGGUCUGAGAGGAUGAUCAGCCACACUGGAACUGAGACACGGUCCAGACUCCUACGGGAGGCAGCAGUGGGGAAUAUUGGACAAAGGGCGCAAGCCUGAUCCAGCCAUACCGCGUGGGUGAAGAAGGCCUUCGGGUUGUAAAGCCCUUUUGUUGGGAAAGAAAAGCAGCAGGUUAAUACCCCGCUGUUCUGACGGUACCCAAAGAAUAAGCACCGGCUAACUUCGUG